Molecule: long non-coding RNA, 2220 nt
Organism: Mustela putorius furo (domestic ferret)
Lineage: Eukaryota; Metazoa; Chordata; Mammalia; Carnivora; Mustelidae
Source: Ensembl
AUUGAAUUGGAGGAAAAAGAAAAAUUUUAAGAACUUUGGCUAAAGUUAUUUAGCCAAACGAUUAUAUAUAUGUAUAUUAGAAACUUUGUUUUACAUUUACUUUUACUGAUAUUAGAAUUUUUUUUUAUUUUCAUCAAUUUUAAACCAUUUUUUAAUUUAAUUUACUUACUUACUUAUUUCCUUUGAGAGAGAGAGAGAAUCGCAAACAGUUCUUGGGGCUCUAUCCCAUGACCCUGAGAUCAUGACCUGAGCCAAAAUCAAGAGUUGGGUGCUUAACUUAGUGAACAACCUAGGCACCCAUUAUGCCAUUUAUUCAACAGAGACAUAAAGAGAGGAGAAAGUAUUUGUUGGUUUGUGUCAAUAAUCAGACUGAUCACUUUAAAAUAAAUAGAGAUAUUUUUAAAGAGCAAAACUUCAAAGAAAAUCAAAUGAAAAAUUUUUAUUAAAGCAGGACAAGUAUAAGGAGGUAUUAAAAACAAUGACAGUAAGAGCAAAGGGAACAAAGACAAUCCCCAAAUUUCCAUUUUGGGUUUCAUUUCAUUUCCACACUUUGAGGAAGUCAACAGCAGGUUACAGUUUUUGCUGUUUUCUUCACACUUGUAAUUCCCAAUGUGGUUGAAAUCUCAUUCCAAGCUAAUUGAAAUAGGAGGAAUGAUUUAGACUCCUGAUUUCAAGCCUGGGCAUAAAUGAUUCACAAUACUUUUAUUGCUAACUAACCUGUAUUCUACCAAGGGCACCUCCGAUGUAAGUAAAACAUGCCAAAUAAUUUAACAUGUGAGUUAUCAUGAAGCACAAUUUCAUUGUUAAAUAUUUACUUGUUCUUUUAUAGUAUUUGCAUGGGUAUACAAACUCUGUUCUACUUGACUCAGUGCCAUCAGAAGGAAAUGUCAAGCACCGGGGGAAAAUUUGGCACUUUGAUUCCACAAGGAUCCAUUCCUGCAGAACCUCUCUCAGACACCCCUUCCUUUGGAAGAAGCAAACUUCCCAGGAAGAGCACAACCACAACUUGGAGAAAUGCCUACAUAAUGUGCAAGGUAUUCAGCUCAAAAAGAGGAGGCAAUGUCAGCAAACUGACUCAACAAUUCAGGGACCUAAUUUAAAUGUGAAGAGACAGUUUGAGGUUCAAAUAUAUAAAGGGGGAAAGACAACUGGGAAAGAUGUUUUAAAACUUUUCUAGGAAAACACUGUUUUUUGUUUUGUAUUAUUUUUUCCAAUUACAGUUUCUGAGCAGAGAGUAUAUAUAUAGGAUGGAUUUACUCUCAAGGUGUGGGAAUGUUGGGAGUCAUCAUUCAUCCCUUGAUGGGAGAGUUUUCUUAGCUGAGCUUUAUGAUCAUGACCGGUAAACUCUGAUCAAAAGAUAUUGAUUUUUCUCUUUUCUGAUUUUUCUCUUCUUUUCCAUUUCUUUAUAUAUAGCACUAAUUCUGUCCUGGGACUAUGACUAAAUUCAAGUUGUACUAAAUGGUCUAUUGGUAUUAUGUAUAGCAUAGCAAAGCAUUUUCACUUGAGUUCUGGGCAUAGCAUGUUUACUGGAUAAAUAUUACUUAGGGAAUUGGUAGUUAAAUUUUCAAUAGAUGCCAUGGGAUCUUUGUUAUGAGGAUCUGACUGUGGUUUCAAAAUGUUGGGCAAAUAGGAAAGGUUCUGUGGAUCUUCUGUGGCUCUGGAAUACAAGGGGUAUUUGAGAGAUGCAAAGAUGCUGAAGGAACAAUGCCUGCCCCAUUGGAAAGUAAUUGUGGACGUCUCUGCUGAAUAAGAAACCAGAAAUCACUUGGGUACCUCAGAGAAGAUCCCUUUAAUGAGGAUAGAGCAGAGGAAGAAUAAAUUAAUGAGAAAAGAUGAUUUUGCACAUAUUGUUGAAUUUUUACAUCCUGGCUAUAAAAAUCAGGAUAAAUUAUUUCAGAUAUUUAGACUUUGUUAAAAUAAAAGAUAUAUCUCAAAUAGAAGUUAUUCUGAACCCCUGUUUGUCAGCAAAACAACCCUCAAGAUGUAUGUGAGCUACCUUAAAUAUAAAAAAAAAUUAAGUGACUAAAAAGAAUCUAUUAAAAAUGUCAUUUAUUUUUGAAAAUCACAUAUUCUAUGUUCUUAAGAAACACUUAUUAACAUUCUAAGAUACAGAUUUCCAUAGACAAAUCUGGGAAGUAUCUCUCUAGAGGAAUGUCUUCUGUCUGGGGUAGACUAUGUUCCAGUGAACUGUUAAGUGCCCAUGAGAUACACCGGCCUGGC